Molecule: long non-coding RNA, 627 nt
Filed under: Mus spicilegus (steppe mouse)
Lineage: Eukaryota; Metazoa; Chordata; Mammalia; Rodentia; Muridae
Description: lncRNA (ENSMSIG00000000937.1)
Source: RNAcentral
AAUAGACAAUUGAGAGAGUUUCUGAGAAAGUGAUUAUCAACUCUGUGCAACUCACUACUGAUAAUAAUUUUAACUCUAUAUCUUUGAACAACUUUGACAAAAGGGCAUUGGCAAUUUAUUUUUGGCUGAAGAUCAAAGGUAUGACAGCAGCAUGCAGGAUGAGGAGGAAGACUUUCCUGAAGAAUAUGUUCAAUUGAAGCCUUUGGAUAAAGAGAAAACUCCUUUUCCAUGUGAAGCACCAGCAAAGAAAGAAAUAAAAACCUUUGGCACAGAACUAGAUAAAAAUUUGUCAUCAGAGGAAGAGCAAGGAUGGCUUGAUGACUGUGAAGAGGAACAUCCAAAGGAGCCUCCACCAAAGGGCAUUGUGCAUUUAUCCAUGCCUAAAGAUGAGGGAGGAGUCAAUGUCGUAGGUGUCAUAAGCAGCCAAGAGAAAGGUUUUCCUGCUGAAUAUCCCGUAUUAAAGGCUUCCAUAGAGAAGCAAUAUUUUGUGCCAACUGAAGACUCAAUAUUGAAUCAGGAAAAAUCAUUCUUGUCAGGUAAAUUUAUCUCCCUGAAACAAGUCCUUACGAAUAUUUGAAAUGUCCAGUCUUUUAUUCCCUACAACAUAGUUCUCUAAUUUAGUGAAAG